This 981-nucleotide ribosomal RNA is filed under the name Enterococcus casseliflavus. Its description in RNAcentral is "bacterial SSU rRNA". It matches the Rfam family "Bacterial small subunit ribosomal RNA", at positions 480 to 1463 of the family's 1533-position model. The record is from RNAcentral. Lineage: Bacteria; Bacillati; Bacillota; Bacilli; Lactobacillales; Enterococcaceae.
UACCAGGAAAGCCAGGGCUAACUACGUGCCAGCAGCCGCGGUAAUACGUAGGUGGCAAGCGUUGUCCGGAUUUAUUGGGCGUAAAGCGAGCGCAGGCGGUUUCUUAAGUCUGAUGUGAAAGCCCCCGGCUCAACCGGGGAGGGUCAUUGGAAACUGGGAGACUUGAGUGCAGAAGAGGAGAGUGGAAUUCCAUGUGUAGGCGGUGAAAUGCGUAGAUAUAUGGAGGAACACCAGUGGCGAAGGCGGCUCUCUGGUCUGUAACUGACGCUGAGGCUCGAAAGCGUGGGGAGCGAACAGGAUUAGAUACCCUGGUAGUCCACGCCGUAAACGAUGAGUGCUAAGUGUUGGAGGGUUUCCGCCCUUCAGUGCUGCAGCAAACGCAUUAAGCACUCCGCCUGGGGAGUACGACCGCAAGGUUGAAACUCAAAGGAAUUGACGGGGGCCCGCACAAGCGGUGGAGCAUGUGGUUUAAUUCGAAGCAACGCGAAGAACCUUACCAGGUCUUGACAUCCUUUGACCACUCUAGAGAUAGAGCUUCCCCUUCGGGGGCAAAGUGACAGGUGGUGCAUGGUUGUCGUCAGCUCGUGUCGUGAGAUGUUGGGUUAAGUCCCGCAACGAGCGCAACCCUUAUUGUUAGUUGCCAUCAUUUAGUUGGGCACUCUAGCGAGACUGCCGGUGACAAACCGGAGGAAGGUGGGGAUGACGUCAAAUCAUCAUGCCCCUUAUGACCUGGGCUACACACGUGCUACAAUGGGAAGUACAACGAGUUGCGAAGUCGCGAGGCUAAGCUAAUCUCUUAAAGCUUCUCUCAGUUCGGAUUGUAGGCUGCAACUCGCCUACAUGAAGCCGGAAUCGCUAGUAAUCGCGGAUCAGCACGCCGCGGUGAAUACGUUCCCGGGCCUUGUACACACCGCCCGUCACACCACGAGAGUUUGUAACACCCGAAGUCGGUGAGGUAACCUUUGAGCCAGCCGCAAAGUU